RNAcentral lists this ribosomal RNA (717 nucleotides) under uncultured bacterium. RNAcentral describes it as "bacterial LSU rRNA". It matches the Rfam family "Bacterial large subunit ribosomal RNA", at positions 169 to 936 of the family's 2925-position model. The record is from RNAcentral.
AGCUAUGUGAGGCAACCCGGCGAACUGAAACAUCUAAGUAGCCGGAGGAAAGGACAUCAACCGAGACUCCGUUAGUAGUGGCGAGCGAACGCGGACCAGGCCAGUGGCCUGAUUGAGAUAACUGGAACCAUCUGGAAAGGUGGGCCAUAGUGGGUGACAGCCCCGUACAGGUACAAUCUUGAUCAGGUCCUUGAGUAGGGCGGAACACGUGAAAUUCUGUCUGAACAUGGGGGGACCACCCUCCAAGCCUAAGUACUCCCAUACGACCGAUAGUGAACCAGUACCGUGAGGGAAAGGUGAAAAGCACCCCGAUGAGGGGAGUGAAAUAGAUCCUGAAACCGAAUGCUUACAAUCAGUUGGAGCCUCCUUGUGGGGUGACAGCGUACCUUUUGUAUAAUGGGUCAGUGACUUAAUCUUGCGAGCGAGCUUAAGCCGAUAGGUGUAGGCGUAGCGAAAGCGAGUCUGAACAGGGCGUCAGAGUUCGUAGGAUUAGACCCGAAACCCGGUGAUCUAGGCAUGGGCAGGUUGAAGGUGCGGUAACACGCACUGGAGGACCGAACCCACUUAUGUUGAAAAAUGAGGGGAUGACCUGUGCCUAGGGGUGAAAGGCCAAUCAAACCGGGAGAUAGCUGGUUCUCCGCGAAAACUAUUUAGGUAGUGCGUCAGACGUUUACCUUCGGGGGUAGAGCACUGGAUGGGCUAGGGGAGCGCGAGCUU